UCUCGUCCGCAGGCCAGUCGGACUGGUCCGGGUGACCUGCUCACUAACUCUGGCCUCUGCUUCUCUUUCCUUUGUGUUGCUGUAGCCCCCGGCUCCACUGAGUUAAGGCACACUUAGUCCAGGACCAGUUACAGAAGUGGAUCCGCGGUAAUGUGAGUGCAUGUGCGAACUCUGUUUUCAUAUUUGACGAGAUGGAUAAAUUGCAUCCCGGGAUCAUUGACGCAAUCAAGCCGUUUCUAGACUACUACGAGCAGGUUGACGGAGUGUCUUACCGCAAAGCCAUCUUCAUCUUUCUCAGCAAUGCAGGCGGGGACCUUAUAACUAAGACGGCUCUUGACUUUUGGCGGGCCGGAAGAAAGAGGGAAGACAUUCAGCUGAAGGACCUGGAACCUGUACUGUCUGUCGGAGUCUUCAAUAAUAAACACAAGUUCACUGACCUGAAGUAUACUCAGUUAAAAUCGGGGGUGGAGGUGCAGACGGUGUCUGACCGGAGGAUGUGGCCGUGCCCGCUGAGCA
Molecule: small RNA, 516 nt
Filed under: Pan troglodytes (chimpanzee)
Lineage: Eukaryota; Metazoa; Chordata; Mammalia; Primates; Hominidae
Description: processed transcript
Source: RNAcentral